Molecule: ribosomal RNA, 495 nt
Filed under: uncultured bacterium
Lineage: Bacteria
Description: partial 16S ribosomal RNA
Rfam family: Bacterial small subunit ribosomal RNA
Source: RNAcentral
AUGAACGCUGGCGGCGUGCCUAAUACAUGCAAGUCGAGCGAACGGACGAGAAGCUUGCUUCUCUGAUGUUAGCGGCGGACGGGUGAGUAACACGUGGAUAACCUACCUAUAAGACUGGGAUAACUUCGGGAAACCGGAGCUAAUACCGGAUAAUAUUUUGAACCGCAUGGUUCAAAAGUGAAAGACGGUCUUGCUGUCACUUAUAGAUGGAUCCGCGCUGCAUUAGCUAGUUGGUAAGGUAACGGCUUACCAAGGCAACGCUGCAUAGCCGACCUGAGGGGGUGACAGGCCACACGGGACGUGAGCACCGGGCCAGACUCAGAGGGGAGGCAGCGGUAGGGAAUCUUCCGGAAUGGGCGAAAGCCUGAGGGAGCAAGGCGGGGGGGGUGAAGAAGGUCUGCGGUUCGUAAAACCCUUUUAUUAGGGAAGAAAAUAUGGGUAAGUAACGGUGCAAAUCUGGGCGGUACCUAAGCAGAAAACCAGGGCAAAUUGCGU